UCUAAGGAAGGCAGCAGGCGCGUAAAUACCCAUCCUAACAUGGGGAGGUAGUGACAAUAAAUAACAAUACGGGGCCUUCAAGGUCCUGUAAUGGAAUGAGUACAAUCUAAAUCCCUUAACGAGGAUCAAUUGGAGGGCAAGUCUGGUGCCAGCAGCCGCGGUAACUCCAGCUCCAAUAGCGUAUAUUAACGUUGUUGCAGUUAAAAAGCUCGUAGUUGGAUUUCUGACAUGAGUGACCGGUCCGAGCCGCAAGGCUCGAGUACUUUAGGUUGUCUCUAGUCAUCCUUAUGGAGAGCGCGUUUUGUCAUUCAGUUGUCAGGCGCGGGACCCAUAUCGUUUACUGUGAAAAAAUUAGAGUGUUUAAAGCAGGCAAUUGCUGUGAAUACAUUAGCAUGGAAUAAUAAGAUAAGACUUGGGUGCUAUUUUGUUGGUUUGCCGCCAAAGUAAUGAUUAAGAGGGACAGUUGGGGGUAUUCGUAUUUAAUUGUCAGAGGUGAAAUUCUUUGGAUUUAUUGAAAAGACGAACUACUGCGAAAGCAUUUACCAAGGAUGUUUUCAUUAAUCAAGAACGAAAGUUAGGGGAUCGAAGAUGAUUAGAUACCAUCGUAGUCUUAACCAUAAACUAUGCCGACUAGGGAUUGGCGGACGUUAUUUAAACGAC
Molecule: ribosomal RNA, 660 nt
Filed under: uncultured marine stramenopile
Lineage: Eukaryota
Description: SSU rRNA
Rfam family: Eukaryotic small subunit ribosomal RNA
Source: RNAcentral